RNAcentral lists this ribosomal RNA (305 nucleotides) under uncultured bacterium. RNAcentral describes it as "bacterial SSU rRNA". It matches the Rfam family "Bacterial small subunit ribosomal RNA", at positions 337 to 635 of the family's 1533-position model. The record is from RNAcentral.
GCCUACGGGGGGCAGCAGUAGGGAAUUUUCGUCAAUGGGCGCAAGCCUGAACGAGCAAUGCCGCGUGAACGAGGAAGGUCUUCGGAUCGUAAAGUUCUGUUGAAGGGGAAAAAGAGCGGAGAGAGGAAAUGGUCUCCGAUUGAUAUUACCCUUCGAGGAAGUCACGGCUAACUACGUGCCAGCAGCCGCGGUAAUACGUAGGAGGCGAGCGUUAUCCGGAAUGAUUGGGCGUAAAGGGUGCGUAGGCGGCCUGCUAAGUCUGGAGUGAAAGGUACCGGCUCAACCGGUACAGGCUCUGGAAACUG